AGCAGUCGCCGCGGGAAUACGUAGGUCCCGAGCGUUGUCCGGAUUUAUUGGGCGUAAAGCGAGCGCAGGCGGUUAGAUAAGUCUGAAGUUAAAGGCUGUGGCUUAACCAUAGUACGCUUUGGAAACUGUUUAACUUGAGUGCAAGAGGGGAGAGUGGAAUUCCAUGUGUAGCGGUGAAAUGCGUAGAUAUAUGGAGGAACAUCGGUGGCGAAAGCGGCUCUCUGGCUUGUAACUGACGCUGAGGCUCGAAAGCGUGGGGAGCAAACAGGAUUAGAUACCCCUGUAGUCCCUGUCUCUUAUACA
This 303-nucleotide ribosomal RNA is filed under the name uncultured bacterium. RNAcentral describes it as "partial 16S ribosomal RNA". It matches the Rfam family "Bacterial small subunit ribosomal RNA", at positions 507 to 808 of the family's 1533-position model. The record is from RNAcentral.